CAUGGGGGUGUCCCUGUCUCACUGUCCCCAUGUGGGUGUCCCUGUGUUGGCAUCCCCGUGUCACUGUCCCCACGUGGGUGUCCCCGUGUCAUUGUCCCCAUCUGGGUGUCCCCAUGUCACUGUCCCCAUCUGGGUGUCCCCAUGUCACUGUCCCCAUGUGGGUGUCCCUGUCUCAAUGUCCCCGUGUCACUGUCCCCAUGUGGAUGUCCCCAUGUGGGUGUCCCUGUGUCACUGUCCCCAUCUGGGUGUCACCAUCUGGGUGUCCCCAUCUAGGUGUCCCCGUGUCAGUGUCCCCAUGCAGGUGUCCCCGUGUCACUGUCCCCACGUGGGUGUCCCCAGUGUCCCCAUCUCAGUGUCCCCAUGUCACUGUCCCCAUGCCGCUGUCACUGUGCAGGUGUUCCCAUCUCAAUGUCCCCAUGGGGGUGUCCCCGUGUCACUGUCCCCAGGUCAGUGUCACUGCCUGGGUGUCCCCAUCUUAGUGUCCCCAUGCAGGUGUCCCCGUGUCAGUGUCCCCAUGUCACUGUCACUGUGCAGGUGUCCCUAUGUCACUGUCCCCACGUGGGUUUCCCCAUCUCAGUGUCCCCAUGUCACUGUCCCCAUGUCGCUGUCACUGUGCAGGCGUCCCCAUCUCAAUGUCCCCAUGCAGGUGUCCCUGUGUCACUGUCCCCAUGCGGGUGUCCCCAUCUCAAUGUCCCUGUGUAGGUGUCCCCAUGUCACUGUCUCCACGUAGGUGUCCCCAUAUGGGUGUCCCUGUCUCAAUGUCCCCAUGUCACUGUCCCCGUGUCACUGUCCCCA
RNAcentral lists this long non-coding RNA (795 nucleotides) under Numida meleagris (helmeted guineafowl). Its description in RNAcentral is "lncRNA (ENSNMEG00000002466.1)". Lineage: Eukaryota; Metazoa; Chordata; Aves; Galliformes; Numididae. The record is from RNAcentral.